GGGUCUGUAUGCAUGUGGUCCUUCAUUUCUUAAAUCUUUAACUUUUGGAAUUUUUUUUUUCUAUUCUUUAUAUCUAUUGUCUUUAAUUAUGUACGCCUUGCCCAUUAUUCUCUAUUUUGUAAACCUAUCAAAACCCUAAUGUACACAUACAUGUAUAUCUUAUCAGUGUCAACGUCCGUCUUAUUAGUAUUGUUUUUCGUACAAAAUGUAUGUAGAAUGGAUUUUUCUCUAUUUUUAAUACUGAUGUUAAGUAAAUUAUGUGUGUAGUUUUGUUCGGUCUUCUAACGUAUACAAUCAUUAAGUACAUUGCCGUCGUCCCCGGACCUCCACUCUGAUCCAUCGCUGGAAACAUGCUGUCAAUUGCAGAAAAAAUAUAUAAUUUGAUUAAACCUUUCCGUACUGUUAAUAUAUAAAACAGUUUAAAGCUAGAGGCGAGUUGAAAAAUAGCAAUUAAU
Molecule: long non-coding RNA, 455 nt
Filed under: Mytilus galloprovincialis (Mediterranean mussel)
Lineage: Eukaryota; Metazoa; Mollusca; Bivalvia; Mytilida; Mytilidae
Source: RNAcentral